Long non-coding RNA from Hordeum vulgare subsp. vulgare (domesticated barley), 1279 nucleotides. RefSeq lists it as uncharacterized. The transcript is spliced from 2 exons. The record is from RefSeq and is a predicted model, not a curated record. Lineage: Eukaryota; Viridiplantae; Streptophyta; Magnoliopsida; Poales; Poaceae.
UUCUUGGCUGAUGGUUCAUUGAUAUUAAGUGAAAUAUGGUAUUGCCCACGUACAUAUGUAAUCAAGAAACAUGCUUGUCUUCUCAUGCGUUGCCCCAGAACAUUAGUUAGGUUACUGUCUGAGAAUACUUGAUGCCCAAAAUAUAUGGAUAAUGCUAUGCUAUGUGUAUUGUGUCCAUGUGCCAGUUGAAUCAUCUCAUAUUGCUUUGAAGUUGCUACCUAAGUAUCGAGAGAUUGAUUCCCUUUCUUCCAGCUGUUCUUGUUCUUAGCAGACAAAUGUGGGAGAAUGUACCAACUAAAUAUAUUGGUUCUUGGGUUUAUUAUUAGAGACUUUUAUCUGCAUAUAUACAUAGGACCGAGAAUGCCGAGGUAUGCGACACCAAAUUUAGUUUAGCUUGUCUACACUUUUGUUAAAUUUUUCUUGGAACUUAGGAACCUGAGCUUUUGGUUGUCUCUUGUUUCCUGAUAGUACAAGCAUGUUACACAAGGCUUCUUGAUAAAUGUCAAACUUGAAGGCUUAUAUUGGGUAUGCUACUAAUUAUUGUUGGCAUGGGCACGGCUGGUGGAGCGGCUGGCGUCCGGGUGGACAACGGUGGCUGCCCAGUGACCAUCAUCAGGUUGUGCUGCAGGUACUACCGUUUCUUCAUUCUAUCUGAAGAAAACAACCACAACCUCCUUUGCUUGAUUCCCAAUUUUGUGUAUCUAUAGCUUUGCUUGUUCUUACCUAGCCUUUUAUACCCACCACAAAUAUUUCUUGUUAUGAUUAUUUGUUUUGCGUUCUUGAUAAUUUCAUUUGUGUUCUUAAUUGGGACGAGCUAGGAGGAACAAACCUAUUUAGCUUCCGGGAUCUCCGUUUCUAAUGACUUGAUAUGGCCUUGGCGACGGUCCUGCUAGAGAGUUCAUCGAUGGCAGCAACAAGCAGUCCCAAGGCAUAGGUAAGCUCCUUUGUUUAAUAUAUUUUAGCUCCAUCCAGCAGAUUGGGCAACCGCCUUCUUCUCUUCAAUUAAUUAUAUCCAUCUGUUUUGGUGUAGGUUUCACUAGAUUUAGUUUUCAGUCUUGUCUACAUUGAGUUGUUUGUUGUUUGAUUAUUUUAUCAAGUAGAACAUGGCUUCUCAUGAACCUCCCGGCAUUUGCCUAAACAUUGGUUAGUAUACUAUACAUAUCAACUACAGUUAUGGAGAUCUGAACUAGAAAUCGCCCUAUGAUGUAUUAACUCUUAAAUAUCGUGCACAAUCAUGUACAUUAAGUGUUUGAAUAAGAAGUAGGAUGUUCUUGCUUAA